GAGCUGCCGGCGAGGAUGCUUUUACCUGGGUCUCUGCAUCAGUGAGCGAGGCUGGGAGAGGAGAGAGGCGCUCGGGUCUGCAGAACUAACUACCUCUGGAUGGUUUAAAAUAAAAACAAAACAAAACAAAACAAAAAGAAUUUUUUUUUUUUUUAAAGAAAGGGGGGAAAAAAAAACAACUCUGCAAUCCUCUGCUCCCCACAGGCUCAGCACCAUAAGGGACUGCUAUAUUUGAGGCUGUCAGGAGGAUGGGAGAGAGAAAUUGAGAGUCAGGGCGAGAGAGGGAGACGGUGCCACAGCAGCGAUUACUGAAAAGAAGUCUUAAUACAUUUUGAUUCAGUUCAGCAUCGGUUUUCACUCAUACAAGAACUAUUCUGUGGAUCUCAUAUCUGUUUGACGGACAACUUCCGUACAGCUAACAGGAGAUUUGAGGCUAAGCUUUAAUGAAGAAACGCCAACGUUGCUAACAACUGCAGAAAGAGGGUCUGAAGACCUUUGCAACCAAUGAUGUGGUUGUCAUGGAAACUGUUUCUGUUUCUGUCACUCACUGGCUGUCUUUCAGAAUACUCAGAAGCUGUUCCUGGUCUCCCCACGUCAUAUGCUGCUAUCCUAAGAAUCAAAUCUGGUAGUUCAUCUUUAGCUUCAUUUAAUUCAAAGAACAGACCACGAUUAAGCAGUCCUGCAUUAGGAAGUGUAUCUUCACCAGGUUGGAGAGGAGCUGCACAUUAUCACUCCCCAACAAACCUUUACCACUUUUCAGAGGCCUUCAAAC
This is a long non-coding RNA of Cuculus canorus (common cuckoo), 772 nucleotides long. RefSeq lists it as uncharacterized. Lineage: Eukaryota; Metazoa; Chordata; Aves; Cuculiformes; Cuculidae. The record is from RefSeq and is a predicted model, not a curated record. The transcript is spliced from 4 exons.